RNAcentral lists this ribosomal RNA (582 nucleotides) under Idomacromia proavita. RNAcentral describes it as "partial 12S ribosomal RNA". The stretch from base 172 to 577 matches the Rfam family "Microsporidia small subunit ribosomal RNA", at positions 752 to 1303 of the family's 1311-position model. Lineage: Eukaryota; Metazoa; Arthropoda; Insecta; Odonata; Corduliidae. The record is from RNAcentral.
AUAAAGAUAAUUAUUUUUGGGUAAUAGUUAACAUUAUUUUUAUUUUUUUAAUUUUUGUUAUUUUUAGGUGAAAUUUUAAUUUUGAUUGAGAAAAUUUUAUGUGAAGCUAUGAAAUUUAUUUUAUAGACAAGGAUUAGAUACCCUUUUAUUAUAAAUGUGAAUUUGAACUCUGGGUAGUAUUAGUUAUGAUCUUGAAACCCAAAGAAUUUGGCGGUAUUUUAUUCUUUUUAGAGGAACCUGUCCUGUAAUCGACAAUCCACGAUAAAGAGUUACUUAUUUUUGUAAUCAGUUUGUAUACCUCCGUCAUCAGAGUAUCUUUUUAGAGUUAAUAUUCUUCUUAUAAGUUUUAUGGUAUGUCAGGUCAAGGUGCAGCUAAUAAAUGAGUCUAGAGAUGGGUUACAAUAAAUUUAUUUAUAUGGAUUAGUAUUUAUAAAUGUAUUAUGAAGGUGGAUUUAAAAGUAUAAUUGGUUUUUUGCUGAUUUGAUUUUGGCUCUGAAAUAUGCACACAUCGCCCGUCGCUCUUAUUUUUAAAAUAAGAUAAGUCGUAACAUAGUAGAUGUAUCGGAAGAUGUAUCUAGAAAG